This 790-nucleotide ribosomal RNA is filed under the name uncultured bacterium. RNAcentral describes it as "bacterial SSU rRNA". It matches the Rfam family "Bacterial small subunit ribosomal RNA", at positions 8 to 796 of the family's 1533-position model. The record is from RNAcentral.
AGAGUUUGAUCCUGGCUCAGAAUAAACGCUGGCGGCGUGCUUAACACAUGCAAGUCGAACGAGAAAGGUCUUCGGACUGAGUAAAGUGGCGAACGGGUGAGUAACGCGUGAGAAUCUACCCCUUAGUGAAGAAUACCUUCGAGAAAUCGAAGUUAAUGCUGCAUAAGCUCCUUAAUUGGAGGAAAGAUGGCCUCUUUGCUGUCGCUAAGGGAUGAGCUUGCGUACUAUUAGCUAGUUGGUAGGGUAAAGGCCUACCAAGGCGAGGAUGGUUAGCCGGCCUGAGAGGGUGUACGGCCACAUUGGAACUUAGACACGGUCCAGACUCCUACGGGAGGCAGCAGUGAGGAAUAUUGCGCAAUGGGCGAAAGCCUGACGCAGCGACGCCGCGUGGAGGAUGAAGGCCUUCGGGUUGUAAACUUCUGUUGAACGGGAAAAAAUGCACAAGUUUAAUAGACUUGUGAGAUGAUUGUACUGUUAAAGAAAGCACCGGCUAACUUCGUGCCAGCAGCCGCGGUAAUACGAAGGGUGCGAGCGUUAUUCGGAAUCAUUGGGCGUAAAGGGUGCGCAGGCGGUGCAUUAAGUCAACUGUUUAAUUCUUCGGCUUAACCGAAGGUCAGCGGUAGAUACUGGUGCACUAGAGUGUGGAAGAGAGAAGUGGAAUUCUCGGAGUAGCGGUAAAAUGCGUAGAUCUCGAGAGGAACACCGAUGGCGAAAGCAGCUUCUUGGUCCAUUACUGACGCUCAUGCACGAAAGCGUGGGGAGCAAACAGGAUUAGAUACCCUGGUAGUCC